GACGAACGCUGGCGGCGUGCUUAACACAUGCAAGUCGAACGGAAAGGCCUUGCAUCUGUGGGGUGCUCGAGUGGCGAACGGACGAGUAAGUAGUGCGUAACCUACCCUCGAUUUUGGGAUAACUUACGGAAACUAGCGCUAAUUCAGGCCACAUGCUCUCGCUUCACGGCGGGGGUGGGAGAGUUACGGCGGUUGGGGCUGGUCGCGCGGCUCAGCAGCAUGUUGGUGGGGUAGUGGAUUACGAAGGAUUGGACGGGUAGCCGGCCUGAGAGGGUGACCGGGCACAUUGGGACUGGGGUACGGCCCGGACGCCUACGGGAGGCAGCGGUGGAGGAUAUUGCACAAUGGGCGGAAUCCGUAAGCAGCAACGCCGCGUGCGAGAGGUCUGCCUUCGGGUUGGAAACCGCUUUCUCCUAUUACGAAGCGUGAGUGACGGUAAUGGGUAAAGAAGCACCGGCUAACUACGUG
RNAcentral lists this ribosomal RNA (468 nucleotides) under uncultured bacterium. RNAcentral's name for it is "partial 16S ribosomal RNA". It matches the Rfam family "Bacterial small subunit ribosomal RNA", at positions 28 to 507 of the family's 1533-position model. The record is from RNAcentral.